RNAcentral lists this transfer RNA (80 nucleotides) under uncultured Bulleidia sp. It matches the Rfam family "tRNA". Rfam says of the family: Transfer RNA (tRNA) molecules are approximately 80 nucleotides in length. Their secondary structure includes four short double-helical elements and three loops (D, anti-codon, and T loops). Further hydrogen bonds mediate the characteristic L-shaped molecular structure. tRNAs have two regions of fundamental functional importance: the anti-codon, which is responsible for specific mRNA codon recognition, and the 3' end, to which the tRNAs corresponding amino acid is attached (by aminoacyl-tRNA synthetases). tRNAs cope with the degeneracy of the genetic code in two manners: having more than one tRNA (with a specific anti-codon) for a particular amino acid; and 'wobble' base-pairing, i.e. permitting non-standard base-pairing at the 3rd anti-codon position. Lineage: Bacteria; Bacillati; Bacillota; Erysipelotrichia; Erysipelotrichales; Erysipelotrichaceae. The record is from RNAcentral.
GAAGUGGCGGAAUCGGCAGACGCAUCGGACUUAAAAUCCGGUGGUGGCAACACCGUGUGGGUUCAAGUCCCAUCUUCCCC